UUAACUUCUAUCUGCCUCAUUCAGAAAGGG
RNAcentral lists this non-coding RNA (30 nucleotides) under Mus musculus (house mouse). Lineage: Eukaryota; Metazoa; Chordata; Mammalia; Rodentia; Muridae. The record is from RNAcentral.